AACGAACGCUGGCGGCAGGCCUAACACAUGCAAGUCGAACGCCCCGCAAGGGGAGUGGCAGACGGGUGAGUAACACGUGGGAACCUUCCCUAUAGUACGGAAUAGCCCAGGGAAACUUGGAGUAAUACCGUAUACGCCCGAAAGGGGAGAGAAUUUCGCUAUAGGAUGGGCCCGCGUAGGAUUAGCUAGUUGGUGAGGUAAUGGCUCACCAAGGCGACGAUCCUUAGCUGGUUUGAGAGAACGACCAGCCACACUGGGACUGAGACACGGCCCAGACUCCUACGGGAGGCAGCAGUGGGGAAUAUUGGACAAUGGGCGCAAGCCUGAUCCAGCCAUGCCGCGUGAGUGAUGAAGGCCUUAGGGUUGUAAAGCUCUUUUGGCGGGGACGAUAAUGACGGUACCCGCAGAAUAAGUCCCGGCUAACUUCGUG
Molecule: ribosomal RNA, 430 nt
Filed under: uncultured bacterium
Lineage: Bacteria
Description: partial 16S ribosomal RNA
Rfam family: Bacterial small subunit ribosomal RNA
Source: RNAcentral